AUACGGAGGGUGCAAGCGUUACUCGGAAUCACUGGGCGUAAAGCGCGCGCAGGCGGUCUUUUAAGUUGGAUGAGAAAGCCUACGGCUCAACCGUAGAACUGCAUCCAAAACUAUUAGACUAGAGUGUGGGAGAGGAAGAUGGAAUUAGUUGUGUAGGGGUAAAAUCCGUAGAGAUAACUAGGAAUACCAAAAGCGAAGGCAAUCUUCUGGAACACUACUGACGCUGAGGUGCGAAAGCGUGGGGAGCAAACAGGAUUAGAUACCCUAGUAGUCC
RNAcentral lists this ribosomal RNA (274 nucleotides) under uncultured bacterium. RNAcentral's name for it is "partial 16S ribosomal RNA". It matches the Rfam family "Bacterial small subunit ribosomal RNA", at positions 523 to 796 of the family's 1533-position model. The record is from RNAcentral.